CAAUAGCGUAUAUUAAAGUUGUUGCAGUUAAAAAGCUCGUAGUUGGAUUUCUGGUAGGAGCGACCGUGCCGAACUUGAUUGUUCGAGUAUUGUGUUGUCUUCAGCCAUCCUCGUGGAGAACUUUUCUAACAUUAACUUGUUGGGAUUGGGACCCGCGUCGUUUACUGUGAAAAAAUUAGAGUGUUUAAAGCAGGCAUUAGCUUGAAUACAUUAGCAUGGAAUAAUAAGAUAGGACUUCGGUACUAUUUUGUUGGUUUGCAUACCAAAUUAAUGAUCAACAGGAACAGUUUGAGGAUAUUCGUAUGAACAUGUCAGAGGUGAAAUUCUUGGAUUUUGAUCAGACGAACUACUGCGAAAGCAUUUAUCAAGGAUGUUUUCAUUAA
Molecule: ribosomal RNA, 383 nt
Filed under: uncultured eukaryote
Lineage: Eukaryota
Description: partial 18S ribosomal RNA
Rfam family: Eukaryotic small subunit ribosomal RNA
Source: RNAcentral